GUAGUUGAACCUUGGGCCUGGCUGGCCGGUCCGCCUCACCGCGUGUACUGGUCCGGCCGGGCCUUUCCCUCUGUGGAACCCCAUGCCCUUCACUGGGCGUGGCGGGGAAACAGGACUUUUACUGUGAAAAAAUUAGAGUGCUCCAGGCAGGCCUAUGCUCGAAUACAUUAGCAUGGAAUAAUAGAAUAGGACGUGUGGUUCUAUUUUGUUGGUUUCUAGGACCGCCGUAAUGAUUAAUAGGGACAGUCGGGGGCAUCAGUAUUCAAUUGUCAGAGGUGAAAUUCUUGGAUUUAUUGAAGACUAACUACUGCGAAAGCAUUUGCCAAGGAUGUUUUCAUUAAUCAGGAACGAAAGUUAGGGGAUCGAAGACGAUCAGAUACCGUCGUAGUCUUAACCAUAAACUAUGCCGACUAGGGAUCGGACGGUGUUAUUUUUUGACCCGUUCGGCACCUUACGAGAAAUCAAAGUGCUUGGGCUCCAGGGGGAGUAUGGUCGCAAGGCUGAAACUUAAAGAAAUUGACGGAAGGGCACCACCAGGGGUGGAGCCUGCGGCUUAAUUUGACUCAACACGGGGAAACUCACCAGGUCCAGACACAAUAAGGAU
Molecule: ribosomal RNA, 604 nt
Filed under: Fusarium langsethiae
Lineage: Eukaryota; Fungi; Ascomycota; Sordariomycetes; Hypocreales; Nectriaceae
Description: SSU rRNA
Rfam family: Eukaryotic small subunit ribosomal RNA
Source: RNAcentral